CCUACGGGUGACAGCAGUGGGGAAUAUUGCACAAUGGGGUAAACCCUGAUGCAGCGACGUCGCGUGAGUGAAGAAGUAAUUCGUUAUGUAAAGCUCUAUCAGCCGGGAAGAAAUUGACGGUACCUGAGUCAGAAGCCCCGGCUAACGACGUGCCAGCAGCCGCGGGUAAACGUCGGGGGCACGCGGUAUUCGGAUUUACUGGGUGUAAAGGGAGCGUAGACGGCAGUGCAAGUCUGGAGUGAAAGGCGGGGGGUCAACCCCCGGACUGCUUUGGAAACUGUACGGCUGGAGUGCAGGAGAGGUAAGCGGAAUUCCUAGUGUAGCGGUGAAAUGCGUAGAUAUUAGGAAGAACUCCAGUGGCGAAGGCAGCUUACUGGAGUGUAACUGACGUUGAGGCUCGAAAGCGUGGGGAGCGAACAGGAUUAGAUACCCGAGUAGUC
RNAcentral lists this ribosomal RNA (440 nucleotides) under uncultured bacterium. RNAcentral's name for it is "partial 16S ribosomal RNA". It matches the Rfam family "Bacterial small subunit ribosomal RNA", at positions 338 to 795 of the family's 1533-position model. The record is from RNAcentral.